Molecule: ribosomal RNA, 493 nt
Filed under: uncultured bacterium
Lineage: Bacteria
Description: partial 16S ribosomal RNA
Rfam family: Bacterial small subunit ribosomal RNA
Source: RNAcentral
CGACCGCUGGCGGCGUGCCUAAUACAUGCACGUAGACCGCUGAAGGAGGAGCUUGCUUCUCUGGAUGAGUUGCGAACGGGUGAGUAACGCGUAGGUAACCUGCCUGGUAGCGGGGGAUAACUAUUGGAAACGAUAGCUAAUACCGCAUAAUAGUAGAUGUUGCAUGACAUUUGCUUAAAAGGUGCAAUUUCAUCACUACCAGAUGGACCUGCGUUGUAUUAGCUAGUUGGUGGGGUAACGGCUCACCAAGGCGACGAUACAUAGCCGACCUGAGAGGGUGAGCGGCCACACUGGGACUGAGACACGGCCCAGACUCCUACGGGAGGCAGCAGUAGGGAAUCUUCGGAAAUGGACGGAAGUCUGACCGAGCAACGAAGCGUGAGUGAAGAAGGUUUUCGGAUCGUAAAGCUCUGUUGUAAGAGAAGAACGAGUGUGAGAGUGGAAAGUUCACACUGUGACGGUAUCUUACCAGAAAGGGACGGCUAACUACGUG